Molecule: ribosomal RNA, 402 nt
Filed under: uncultured bacterium
Lineage: Bacteria
Description: bacterial SSU rRNA
Rfam family: Bacterial small subunit ribosomal RNA
Source: RNAcentral
UGGGGAAUCUUGCACAAUGGGGGCAACCCUGAUGCAGCGACGCCGCGUGAGCGAUGAAGCCCUUCGGGGCGUAAAGCUCUUUCGACCGGAACGAUAAUGACGGUACCGGGAGAAGAAGCUGCGGCUAACUACGUGCCAGCAGCCGCGGUAAUACGUAGGCAGCAAGCGUUGUUCGGAGUUACUGGGCGUAAAGAGUGCGUAGGCGGUUUUCCAAGUUCGGUGUGAAAUCUCCCGGCUUAACUGGGAGGGUGCGCCGAAGACUGGGAAGCUGGAGUGUGGGAAAGGCAGGCGGAAUUCCUGGUGUAGCGGUGAAAUGCGUAGAUAUCAGGAGGAACACCGGCGGUGUAGACGGCUUGCUAGACCAUAACUGACGCUGAGGCACGAAAGCGUGGGUAGCAAACA